AGGGAGACAAAACAAUGAUUUUGAUGUCUGAGUAAUUUAUUCUUAGGCCGAAAUCCUGUCACCUUAGGUCGAUCGGUACCUCAACAUUUUUUCAAAGAUUGAUGAGCAAUCAUCAAGAGAUUGAGAAAGAUGUUCAGUUCCUAAACUUUGUCUAGGUCACACCCCGCAAGGGAAGAGUCCCCUGGGCCAUUAGCUCAGGUGGUUAGAGCGCACCCCUGAUAAGGGUGAGGUCCCUGGUUCAAGUCCAGGAUGGCCCAUUCGGUGUUGGGGGUUUAGCUCAGUUGGUAGGGCGCCUGCUUUGCAAGCAGGAUGUCAGGAGUUCGAGUCUCCUAACCUCCACUGACCGAACUCAAUCUCCAUUGUCCGGUUACCCGGAGGAUGAACUCGAGGGAAUGUGAUUUAGAUGUGUCCACUAGAUUGGACCCCAGCUUCCUGUCAUGCCAAAUGAGCAAAUUUUGCUUUAUUGGUUGAUAAGAUGCUGGGCUCAGAUUAAUCUAAAGAUUAAUUUGAUGUCUAGUAGAACCUUGACAACUGCAUAGGUAAGUCUGGAAAAACAAAGCAUCUUACAGAUGCAUUGUUUUAAGCCUAAAUUCUCGAAAGGGAAUUUAGAAUUAGAACAAUGAAAAUUCUUUUGAGCAAGAGCCGAGACUCUUAGAUGUUCUUUGAUUCGUGUCGAGCGAAUCAGAGUUUGAUUUUGUUUUUAUGAGCAACGAAAGUUGUUGAUGAAACCAGAAGAAUCUGCUUUCAACCGCAGUAAGCGUUUGAGAGGUUAAUU
Molecule: transfer RNA, 775 nt
Filed under: uncultured Synechococcus sp.
Lineage: Bacteria; Bacillati; Cyanobacteriota; Cyanophyceae; Synechococcales; Synechococcaceae
Description: 16S-23S ribosomal RNA intergenic spacer
Rfam family: tRNA (bases 184-257)
Source: RNAcentral